GUACGACGGAGCACGUGAAAUUCCGUCGGAAUCUGGGAGGACCAUCUCCUAAGGCUAAAUACUCUCUAGUGACCGAUAGUGAACCAGUACCGUGAGGGAAAGGUGAAAAGCACCCCGGAAGGGGAGUGAAAUAGAACCUGAAACCGUGUGCUUACAAGUAGUCAGAGCCCGUUAAUGGGUGAUGGCGUGCCUUUUGUAGAAUGAACCGGCGAGUUACGAUUUGAUGCAAGGUUAAGCAGUAAAUGUGGAGCCGUAGCGAAAGCGAGUCUGAAUAGGGCGUUUAGUAUUUGGUCGUAGACCCGAAACCAGGUGAUCUACCCUUGGUCAGGUUGAAGUUCAGGUAACACUGAAUGGAGGACCGAACCGACUUACGUUGAAAAGUGAGCGGAUGAACUGAGGGUAGCGGAGAAAUUCCAAUCGAACCUGGAGAUAGCUGGUUCUCUCCGAAAUAGCUUUAGGGCUAGCCUCAAGUGAUGAUUAUUGGAGGUAGAGCACUGUUUGGACGAGGGGCCCCUCUCGGGUUACCGAAUUCAGACAAACUCCGAAUGCCAAUUAAUUUAACUUGGGAGUCAGAACAUGGGUGAUAAGGUCCGUGUUCGAAAGGGAAACAGCCCAGACCACCAGCUAAGGUCCCAAAAUAUAUGUUAAGUGGAAAAGGAUGUGGCGUUGCCCAGACAACUAGGAUGUUGGCUUAGAAGCAGCCAUCAUUUAAAGAGUGCGUAAUAGCUCACUAGUCGAGUGACACUGCGCCGAAAAUGUACCGGGGCUAAACAUAUUACCGAAGCUGUGGAUUGUCCUUUGGACAAUGGUAGGAGAGCGUUCUAAGGGCGUUGAAGCAUGAUCGUAAGGACAUGUGGAGCGCUUAGAAGUGAGAAUGCCGGUGUGAGUAGCGAAAGACGGGUGAGAAUCCCGUCCACCGAUUGACUAAGGUUUCCAGAGGAAGGCUCGUCCGCUCUGGGUUAGUCGGGUCCUAAGCUGAGGCCGACAGGCGUAGGCGAUGGAUAACAGGUUGAUAUUCCUGUACCACCUAUAAUCGUUUUAAUCGAUGGGGGGACGCAGUAGGAUAGGCGAAGCGUGCGAUUGGAUUGCACGUCUAAGCAGUAAGGCUGAGUAUUAGGCAAAUCCGGUACUCGUUAAGGCUGAGCUGUGAUGGGGAGAAGACAUUGUGUCUUCGAGUCGUUGAUUUCACACUGCCGAGAAAAGCCUCUAGAUAGAAAAUAGGUGCCCGUACCGCAAACCGACACAGGUAGUCAAGAUGAGAAUUCUAAGGUGAGCGAGCGAACUCUCGUUAAGGAACUCGGCAAAAUGACCCCGUAACUUCGGGAGAAGGGGUGCUCUUUAGGGUUAACGCCCAGAAGAGCCGCAGUGAAUAGGCCCAAGCGACUGUUUAUCAAAAACACAGGUCUCUGCUAAACCGUAAGGUGAUGUAUAGGGGCUGACGCCUGCCCGGUGCUGGAAGGUUA
Molecule: ribosomal RNA, 1463 nt
Filed under: Staphylococcus aureus
Lineage: Bacteria; Bacillati; Bacillota; Bacilli; Caryophanales; Staphylococcaceae
Description: partial 23S ribosomal RNA
Rfam family: Bacterial large subunit ribosomal RNA
Source: RNAcentral